RNAcentral lists this unclassified non-coding RNA (428 nucleotides) under plant metagenome. RNAcentral's name for it is "partial contains 5.8S ribosomal RNA, internal transcribed spacer 2, and large subunit ribosomal RNA". It matches the Rfam family "Bacterial small subunit ribosomal RNA", at positions 357 to 777 of the family's 1533-position model. The record is from RNAcentral.
GGGAGUAUUGCACAAUGGGCGCAAGCCUGAUGCAGCCAUGCCGCGUGUAUGAAGAAGGCCUUCGGGUUGUAAAGUACUUUCAGCGGGGAGGAAGGUGUUGAGGUUAAUAACCUCAGCAAUUGACGUUACCCGCAGAAGAAGCACCGGCUAACUCCGUGCCAGCAGCCGCGGUAAUACGGAGGGUGCAAGCGUUAAUCGGAAUUACUGGGCGUAAAGCGCACGCAGGCGGUCUGUCAAGUCGGAUGUGAAAUCCCCGGGCUCAACCUGGGAACUGCAUUCGAAACUGGCAGGCUAGAGUCUUGUAGAGGGGGGUAGAAUUCCAGGUGUAGCGGUGAAAUGCGUAGAGAUCUGGAGGAAUACCGGUGGCGAAGGCGGCCCCCUGGACAAAGACUGACGCUCAGGUGCGAAAGCGUGGGGAGCAAACAGGA